MicroRNA precursor from Oryza sativa Japonica Group (Japanese rice), 205 nucleotides. It matches the Rfam family "MIR812 microRNA precursor family". Lineage: Eukaryota; Viridiplantae; Streptophyta; Magnoliopsida; Poales; Poaceae. The record is from Rfam.
AAUAUCUGACGCUGUUGACUUUUUAUCACAUGUUUGACCGUUCGUCUUAUUUAAAAAAUUUAAGUAAUUAUUAAUUCUUUUCCUAUCAUUUGAUUCAUUGUUAAAUAUAUUUUUAUGCAGGCAUAUAAUUUUACAUAUCUCACAAAAGUUUUUGAAUAAGACGAACGGUCAAACAUGUGCUAAAAAGUCAACGGUGUCAAACAUU